Eucalyptus grandis is the source of this 236-nucleotide non-coding RNA. NCBI's taxonomy places the organism in Eukaryota, Viridiplantae, Streptophyta, Magnoliopsida, Myrtales, Myrtaceae. The record is from Rfam.
UCGUGCCUCCGAUGCUAUUACUUUGAAAAAAUUAGAGUGUUCAAAGUAAGCCUACGCUCUGUAUACAUUAGCACGGGAUAACAUCAUAGGAUUCCGGUCCUAUUAUGUUGAAUUUCGGGAUCGAAGUAAUGAUUAAUAUGGACAGUUGGAGGAAUGCGUAUUUUAUACUUAGAGGUGAAAUUCUUAGAUUUAUGAAAGACGAACAACUGCAAAAGCAAGUUUAAAGUGGAUAAUUU